RNAcentral lists this long non-coding RNA (1385 nucleotides) under Zea mays. RNAcentral describes it as "long non-coding RNA (ZMAY_LNC003020)". Lineage: Eukaryota; Viridiplantae; Streptophyta; Magnoliopsida; Poales; Poaceae. The record is from RNAcentral.
CCUCACUGUGAUCUUCUCCUGUAACAAACUCGUCACGCUGUAACCAUCUCCACGGAACCCAGAGUCCGUUGCUCGCAGCCUAGAAUCGACCUUCGUAGGGCUAUAAAGCCAUAUACCGGGCGCCACCAAUUGUGCACCCACCUGACGACAUCGUGCCACCACCGAGAGAGGACAAUAGAGAGGGAGAGAGAGAGCAUGGAGCUGUCGCGGCUAUUCUUCCUCGGAGAUGCGAAUGGGUUCCAGUGAAGAGGGCAUGAGAGUCUACAGGGCACAUGGAAGCUACGGCUCCCACCAAUUUGACGAGCAUGGCUUCAGAGCCGGGGUAAUUGCUCGCCGUCGUCGUGGAGCCAUAUCUUGCCGCGGGCAGUGUGGUCAUCGUCUCUGAUUUCGGUAAGAAACCCUUCCUGCCUGUUCGCCCUGUCCUCCUUUUUGUGUAGCAUAAACUAGGCUCGCGGUUGGUGGUCGGGACCAUCGGUUGGUCGCGCGAUGGCCAUGGCACCGCCGUCGGGGUUUGGACGCCACCGUGGAUCGGCGUCGGGAGGUGGAAGGGGAUCCCUGGCCAUGGAACCGUAAGGGUUUAGGGAUCCUCGGGUCAGAGUGUCUAUAAAGCUUUUCGGACGAGAAAUUCCUAUAUCGCCUUUGUCCCGGAAUCUAUUGCGGGUUCUCUCAUCUAGUGAAACUUUGUAAAAGCCUUGCAGUGGAUCCCUAGUCAUUCACCUUGUAAGUGUCUAAGGGUCUUGCAAACCCUGGCUAAACAGGAAACACGUCUUGUGGGUAAAGAUGUGCAACCUCUGCAGAGUGUAAAACUGGUAUAUCAUCCGUGCUCGCAGUCAAGAGCGACUCAGGACUCUCACAUGAUUAACUUAUAGAAUUAAAUUUAAUUUGGCAUAUGCAUUACAUUGUGGGAUUAUUAUUAAUUGUGAUCAAUUAUUUAUUUGGGUUGGUAUACACUUGUACUUAGUAAUUGCUAAUAAAAGUUUGACCAACUUAUUAAAAGCAAUGCUCAACCUUAACUAUUUUUCUUGGUAAGUCUUACACUUCACAUGAGCCCCCACUUUAAGUGAGCUCAUACACAUUAUUCCCUACAACUUGUUGAGCGAUCAACAUAUGUGAGUUCAUCCUUAUUGUACUCACACCUAGGUCAAGAACAGGUACUACAAGAUGGAUCAUGAAGGAUGCUACAAUGAGUUCGGAGAGGUCUAGCUCGUCUUCUCCCAGUCAACUAUGGUUGCAGAGGAUCGUUGUCGUCAAUCGUCAUAUGAUGUAAUUAUUUUAGCUAUUUUGUAUAGAACCCCUAUUUUAUAAUAAAUAUGUGACAUUGAUUUCUGUAUCAUGAGUCAUCAUAUGUGUGAAACUUGAUCCUAGCACACAUUUGAUUCGUGCCC